RNAcentral lists this ribosomal RNA (468 nucleotides) under uncultured bacterium. Its description in RNAcentral is "partial 16S ribosomal RNA". It matches the Rfam family "Bacterial small subunit ribosomal RNA", at positions 28 to 507 of the family's 1533-position model. The record is from RNAcentral.
GACGAACACUGGCGGCGUGCUUAACACAUGCAAGUCGAACGGAAAGGCCCUGCUUUUGUGGGGUGCUCGAGUGGCGAACGGGUGAGUAACACGUGAGUAACCUGCCCUUGACUUUGGGAUAACUUCAGGAAACUGGGGCUAAUACCGGAUAGGAGCUCCUGCUGCAUGGUGGGGGUUGGAAAGUUUCGGCGGUUGGGGAUGGACUCGCGGCUUAUCAGCUUGUUGGUGGGGUAGUGGCUUACCAAGGCUUUGACGGGUAGCCGGCCUGAGAGGGUGACCGGCCACAUUGGGACUGAGAUACGGCCCAGACUCCUACGGGAGGCAGCAGUGGGGAAUAUUGCACAAUGGGCGGAAGCCUGAUGCAGCAACGCCGCGUGCGGGAUGACGGCCUUCGGAUUGUAAACCGCUUUCGCCUGUGACGAAGCGUGAGUGACGGUAAUGGGUAAAGAAGCACCGGCUAACUACGUG